This 558-nucleotide ribosomal RNA is filed under the name Aureobasidium proteae. RNAcentral's name for it is "partial 26S ribosomal RNA". The record is from RNAcentral. Lineage: Eukaryota; Fungi; Ascomycota; Dothideomycetes; Dothideales; Saccotheciaceae.
UACAACCAUUACGCCAGCAUCCUAGCCGAAGCGCGGACCUCAGUCCCGGCUGGCCGUAUUACACCCUGGGCUAUAACACCUCCACCGAAGUGGAGGCCACAUUCCCAGAGCCUUUAUCCGGCCGCCGAAACUGAUGCUGGCCUGUCCAAACUGAGUAAACCGGUCAGAAGACCGGCCGAACAGUUUAAACAAGUCUGAUUGCAAGCGCUUCCCUUUCAACAAUUUCACGUGCUUUUUAACUCUCUUUCCAAAGUGCUUUUCAUCUUUCGAUCACUCUACUUGUGCGCUAUCGGUCUCUCGCCAAUAUUUAGCUUUAGAAGAAAUUUACCUCCCAUUUAGAGCUGCAUUCCCAAACAACUCGACUCGUCGAAGGAGAUUUACAUAGGGUGCCAUUUCCUGUCACAUACGGGAUUCUCACCCUCUAUGACGUCCUGUUCCAAGGAACUUAGACAGGCGGCUUCCCCAAAUCAUCCUCUACAAAUUACAAUGCGAACCCGAAGGCUAGCUUUCAAAUUUGAGCUGUUGCCGCUUCACUCGCCGUUACUAGGGCAAUCCCUG